CCUACGGGUAGCAGCAGUGAGGAAUAUUGGUCAAUGGGCGCGAGCCUGAACCAGCCAAGUCGCGUGAGGGAGGACGGCCCUACGGGUUGUAAACCUCUUUUGCCGGGGAGCAACGGGCGUCACGUGUGGCGCCCCUGAGAGUCCCCGGGGACAAGGCAUCGGCUAACUCCGUGCCAGCAGCCGCGUUAAUACGGAGGGUGCGAGCGUUCAUGGGAAUUACUGGGCGUAAAGCGCUCGUAGGCGGGAUGUCAAGUCAAGGGUGAACUCCCCGCGCUCAACGUGGGAACUGCCUUUGAAACUGGCAAACUGGAGUGUGUGAGAGGAGAGCGGAAUUCCAGGUGUAGGAGUGAAAUCCGUAGAUAUCUGGCGGAACAUCAGUGGCGAAGGCGACUAUCUGGCACAUAACUGACGCUGAGGAGCGAAAGCGUGGGUAGCAAACAGGAUUAGAUACCCCAGUAGUC
This 461-nucleotide ribosomal RNA is filed under the name uncultured bacterium. RNAcentral describes it as "partial 16S ribosomal RNA". It matches the Rfam family "Bacterial small subunit ribosomal RNA", at positions 338 to 795 of the family's 1533-position model. The record is from RNAcentral.